RNAcentral lists this unclassified non-coding RNA (185 nucleotides) under rhizosphere metagenome. RNAcentral describes it as "partial ribosomal RNA internal transcribed spacer region". The record is from RNAcentral.
GAGUUCAUGCCCUCACGGGUAGAUCUCCCACCCUUGAAUAUUAUACCUUCGUUGCUUUGGCAGGCCGUGGAAACACCAUGGGCUCCGGCUGAUGCGUGCCUGCCAGAGGACCUAAACUCUGUUUGUCUAUAAUGUCUGAGUACUAUAUAAUAGUUAAAACUUUCAACAACGGAUCUCUUGGUUCU